UACGGAGGGGGCUAGCGUUGUUCGGAAUUACUGGGCGUAAAGCGUGCGCAGGCGGCUUUGCAAGACAGAUGUGAAAUCCCCGGGCUCAACCUGGGAACUGCGCUUGUGACUGCAAAGCUGGAGUGCGGCAGAGGGGGAUGGAAUUCCGCGUGUAGCAGUGAAAUGCGUAGAUAUGCGGAGGAACACCGAUGGCGAAGGCAAUCCCCUGGGCCUGCACUGACGCUCAUGCACGAAAGCGUGGGGAGCAAACAGG
RNAcentral lists this ribosomal RNA (253 nucleotides) under uncultured bacterium. Its description in RNAcentral is "partial 16S ribosomal RNA". It matches the Rfam family "Bacterial small subunit ribosomal RNA", at positions 524 to 776 of the family's 1533-position model. The record is from RNAcentral.